This 364-nucleotide ribosomal RNA is filed under the name uncultured eukaryote. RNAcentral describes it as "partial 18S ribosomal RNA". It matches the Rfam family "Eukaryotic small subunit ribosomal RNA", at positions 592 to 976 of the family's 1831-position model. The record is from RNAcentral.
CAAAAGCGUAUAUUAAAGUUGUUGCAGUUAAAAAGCUCGUAGUUGAACCUUGGGCUUGGCUGGCCGGUCCAUCUUUUUUGAUGCGUACUGGACCCAGCCGAGCCUUUCCUUCUGGCUAGCCUUUUGGCGAACCAGGACUUUUACUUUGAAAAAAUUAGAGUGUUCAAAGCAGGCCUUUGCUCGAAUAUAUUAGCAUGGAAUAAUAGAAUAGGACGUUAUGGUUCUAUUUUGUUGGUUUCUAGGACCAUCGUAAUGAUUAAUAGGGACGGUCGGGGGUAUCAGUAUUCAGUUGUCAGAGGUGAAAUUCUUGGAUUUACUGAAGACUAACAACUGCGAAAGCAUUUACCAAGGACGUUUUCAUUAA